This is a long non-coding RNA of Panicum virgatum (switchgrass), 3784 nucleotides long. RefSeq lists it as uncharacterized. The transcript has 3 exons. The record is from RefSeq and is a predicted model, not a curated record. NCBI's taxonomy places the organism in Eukaryota, Viridiplantae, Streptophyta, Magnoliopsida, Poales, Poaceae.
UUAGCUCCUCGGGUUGGCAUCACUACCCUCCGACCCCCUCCCUCUCGCGAGCAAGGUCAGUGUCCCCUGGUCUGUUCAUUCAGACCAUUUUCGCUGGCGAUUUCAGAGCAUGGCGGCCCCAAUGGCUCCACUCCGUCUUCCUGCUUCUUGCCUCCGGAUGGCCUCUCCCGCAUGCCGUCGCACUUGCCGUCGGCCCAGACAGCGCCUACCCAUCCGCCGCCAGCGAACGUGAAGACCAGAUGAUCGAGCCCCAUCUCCGUCAGUUCGCUCUUCGUUGUAGGUCUUUUGUCUGAUUUGAGGUCUGCAAUUGUUCGAUUGGGGUAGUACGUGGUUUGAAUUUGAGGAUUUGAGGUAGGUUUGUGUUCAGGUUUAGAUUUGUGGGGAUGGAUUAGGGAAUUUGUUUGUGUUCGACCUAGUCCUGUAGGGUCUAAAAAAUUGGGGAUCUAAUGAGAGGUGCCUGAACUAUGUUUCUAUAGGUUGCCUGCUAUUCCUCUCGAUUUGGGGUGUGUAAAUUUUGUGUAUUUGUGUGUUCAUCAAUUUCUAUGUUUUCUUACUUGUGUCAUCGGUUAGUAAAGCUAGGAAAUGCAUCUGGAGGUGACUAAGAGUGUCAGAUUAGCACCAGGUGUUUGAUGGAAUCCAACCAUUCGCAAGGUGCUUGGAGGUAGCUGUUGCUGUGAACCACUGUGUAAGUUAACAAUUGUUGAAAUGAUACCACCUGAUAUACUUUUUUAUUAGUACCUCCUCUUUGGGAUUAGGAAUGACAUGACCGAAACAAACUGUCUGUACUAAAUUUACUAGUUAACAAUAUCUUGUUUGCAUGAUUUUUGACAGUAUUCUUUGUCUUGUCCAUGCGGGGUACCUAGUUACGUUACUUGCAUUGUUGAGCUUAAUUCCUAGAUUUCACUUGAUAUGCAACCUUAUAUGUUUUUGCUAAGGAUUAAUUUUGAUUGACUAUAGGGUUGUGAGAUCCCUCAGCCCUCAUUUUAAUAAGAAAAUCAAUAAGACAUUAGCCUUUCAUAUGUCUGACACUCAGAAUUUAUGUCUUUCUCACUGUUUGCCAGUUCAGAGAUGCAUGUGUUGUGUGAUUUAAUUAGUAAUCGUUUGGGAUUGUAGCACGUCAUUAGCUUAAUUAUUAAUUAUUGUUUACAAUAUUUAGACAACAUUAUAACAUUGAAACUUGUGUAAUUUAGAUCUACUUACUACAAUUUUUUUUUACCAAACAAGGGUAGAGACCUUGUAGAUUCUACUGUAGGAGCUUGUAUCUUUUUUGCACAGUGUGGGAUUUAACAUGAUAUAGAUGUUAGUCCUAAAAUAUUUUCUAUGCUAAGAUAAUGUCACUUUUAGGAUUAGUGGAGCCUUUCGCUAUGCACAAAUGAACAAUAAAAAUUGUUUGUUCCAAGCAUUGAUGGUGUGUUAGUGUCAGACUUGAUUUAUAUUUGACUGAUGCUAGGAUUUUUUUAGUUUGGUGUGAAUUAAUGGUGAACUUCUGUUGUUUUCGUUUAAUACAAAGCCGGAUCCUGCUUUGAUCCAGAUGAUGGCAAAUGUUUUCAGUUUUCACCAAUGUGAGUUUGGGGCACGUGGUUGUCUCCUUCACAUAGACCAUCAAGGCUAUGGAGCCCUUCUUCUCGGUGCUCUUCUUAGUCCUGUUCCUAUGAGAGGUAAUUGGUAUGUGGCUGCCUCUUGAAAUUUGUAUUCUGUUGCAUACUAGUGUGUCAUGAAUUUAUACAUCUUCUCUUUCAGUUAUCCCAUUCAAAACUACCGCUUUGAGUCAUUUGACAAGAAGCAGUUAAAAUGUAAAUUUAUUGUUGAAAACAUCUACUGUAAUUUCACAUUUUUUAUCCUUUUGUAGGCUGAAAGGAGAAAACUGUCUAGGAUUACUACCAGAGAGACCCAGUAGCACCAAACCAAGUGCACAACCUUCUAUUGAAUAGAAGAAGGUUUUUUUUUUAGUUGGAAUUCGAUUUUUUUUCUUUACCAUGAUGGCUAUAGUGUAAAAAAAAUAAUUUGUUCCACUUUUGAGCUCACCAUGCGUCUUUAUCAUUAAUUUGGUGAGUGAGAUGAGGUUACUAAAAGAACUAAAUUUAUUAGGGGAAGAUACAAUGUUCAAGUAAACGCUAGGCACCAGGCAGGCGCUAGCCUUUUGACUAGUGCUAGGAAGGUUAAACGUAGGGUCAACGUAGAUUAAACAUAGACGUUAGGCUUUUGUUUAGAGUUUAAUCUCGACUAAAUGAAGUUUAAUAACAUUUUUUUGAACCUUGGGAACAUAACUUUGCUAUAAGAUCAAUCUCUUUUGGUAUAUUGCAUGAAUAUAUGGGUGCAAAUAGGUGCCCCUAUGGGUAUCCACCUUCCCUCUUUAGUUCAAAAGUUUGUACUAGUUUUUUCAAAGUGGAAGUUCAUUUUGAGAAACUAUAACAAAUUUUUAUACUAAAGAGGGGCAGUGGAUACCCUAAGGGGGACCCAUUUGCACCUCUACAUGAAUAUGUAGCACUGGCGGAGCCUCUUGGAGGCCAACCUGGGCCUCGGCCCCCCCUUCCUCCCAAAGAAUUUACGAGGCUUUGGUUUAUUUUGGUAGUCCGCUUAUUACAAGCAACUCACGUAUCCGAGUUCAUUCAUGGAUCUUGCAGGACUAUCCAGAGAGGACCACGUGCAAUCAUGUCUAUUGCUUUUCUUGCAUUUUGCAUCGUUUGACUGUGAUUGCUGGAUAAUGCGUCGCGACGCUCUCUUUUUAUUGUAUUUGCUAGCUGUUGCUACCUCACCGGCUGCGGAGCUCGCUGGGCACUGUCGCCUGGACAUAGGAAGAAGAGCACAGGGCUCCUAAGGGGCUACAGUUAGUCCCUUUGUCGAUUCUUUUCUAAAACUUAACCUUGCAAGUUCAUAGAUUCAUAGUUUUUGGUGAUAACUUUAUUUUUAUGCUAAUUGCUACCCUCAAAAGCUUAGGUAGCUAGGUUUAUAUUAUUUGAUGCCUCACGCAUAUUUAUCUAAUACCAUCGCCAAGCUUUCUCUCCAUUGCGCUCUAGGGCGCCAUGACAUGUGGCACUUAAAGCUUGCCUGCGGUGCGGCAUGUCGGCUCUUUGAGCUUGAGCCUUCACAAAUUGGUCCCCCCUUAAUUUUAUCUCACGCUCCGCCACUGUAUGUAGAGUGCAUAUUCGCCAGCUACAAAGGCAGAGCUAAUAAGGGAUUGUCUCUUAGAUCUUAAACAACAUACAAGGCUGAAAGGAGGCAAUUAGGAUUUCCACCAGAGAGAUCCAACAGCAUGAAACCAAGCACCACCUGCUGUUGAAUAGAAGAAGAUAUCUUUAGUUGGAAUUCUAUUUUUCUUUUUACCAAGAUGGUUAUAGUGUAAAAAAAUAUAUUAUUCCAGUUUUGAGCUUACCAUGUGCCUUUAUCAUUAAUUUGGUGAGUCAGAUGAGGUUAUUAAAAGUCUUAAACUUCUUAGGGGAACACAACUUUGCUACAAGAUCAAUCUCUUCUGGUUCUGGUAUAUUGUGUGAAUAUGCAGAGUGCAUUCGCCGGCUACAAGGCAGAGCUGAUAAGAGAUUGUCUCUCAUAUCUUAACAACAAAACAAGGGUGGGGACAAAGAGAAUGUGAGACUAGAUAGCUGGAGCAUCGGUUUUAUUUUCAUGUUUGGUAUGAAGAUGGAUCGGGAGAAAUUUGUAAUUGUAACUUUCUUGUAAGCCCAAAAAAAUUGUAACUAUUUGGUUUGUUGUAAUUAUUGACUUUUGUGUUGACAUCAAAGUAGUUUUGAAAAAAAAAUAGUGUAAAUUUAUUUUCUAGCAAAAAAAA